Molecule: ribosomal RNA, 466 nt
Filed under: uncultured Bacteroidales bacterium
Lineage: Bacteria; Pseudomonadati; Bacteroidota; Bacteroidia; Bacteroidales
Description: bacterial SSU rRNA
Rfam family: Bacterial small subunit ribosomal RNA
Source: RNAcentral
CCAACCUGCCGUCUACUCUUGGCCAGCCUUCUGAAAGGAAGAUUAAUCCAGAUGGCAUCAUGAUCCUGUCCGCAUGAUUAAAGGUUUCCGGUAACAUGGGGAUGCGUCAUUAAUAUAGCGGGGUAACGGCCACCUAUCACGAUGGAUAGGGGUUCUGAGAGGAAGGUCCCCCACAUUGGAACUGAGACACGGUCCAAACUCCUACGGGAGGCAGCAGUGAGGAAUAUUGGUCAAUGGGCGAUGGCCUGAACCAGCCAAGUAGCGUGAAGGAUGACUGCCCUAUGGGUUGUAAACUUCUUUUAUAAAGGAAUAAAGUCGGGUAUGCAUACCCGUUUGCAUGUACUUUAUGAAUAAGGAUCGGCUAACUCCGUGCCAGCAGCCGCGGUAAUACGGAGGAUCCGAGCGUUAUCCGGAUUUAUUGGGUUUAAAGGGAGGUAGAUGGAUGUUUAAGUCAGUUGUGAAAGUU